GGGUCAGUAGGUUGGUCGUGCCACCGGUACGUACUGGUCUCACUGAUUCCUCCUUCCUGAAGAACCGUAAUGCCAUUAAUCUGGUGUUGCGGGGAAACAGGACCGUUACUUUGAAAAAAUUAGAGUGUUUAAAGCAAGCUAACGCUUGAACACAUUAGCAUGGAAUAAUGAAAUAGGACGAUCGAUCCUAUUUUGUUGGUUUCUAGGAUUGACGUA
Molecule: ribosomal RNA, 216 nt
Filed under: Glomeromycotina sp.
Lineage: Eukaryota; Fungi; Glomeromycota
Description: partial small subunit ribosomal RNA
Rfam family: Eukaryotic small subunit ribosomal RNA (bases 44-216)
Source: RNAcentral